AUUGAACGCUGGCGGCAGGCCUAACACAUGCAAGUCGAACGAGUGGCGGACGGGUGAGUAAUGUAUGGGGAACUGCCCGAUGGAGGGGGAUAAAUACUGGAAACGGUGGCUAAUACCGCAUACUAUCGGAUGUACCCAUAUGGGAUUAGCUCGUAGGUGGGGUAAAGGCUCACCUAGGCGACGAUCUCUACCUGGUCUGAGAGGAUGAUCAGCAACACUGGGACUGAGACACGGCCCAGACUCCUACGGGAGGCAGCAGUGGGGAAUAUUGAACAAUGGGCGCAAGCCUGAUGCAGCCAUGCCGAGUGUAUGAAGAAGGCCUUAGGGUUGUAAAGUACUUUCAGCGGGGAGGCGUUACCCGCAGAAGAAGCACCGGCUAACUCCGUGCCAGCAGCCGCGGUAAUUC
Molecule: ribosomal RNA, 406 nt
Filed under: uncultured bacterium
Lineage: Bacteria
Description: partial 16S ribosomal RNA
Rfam family: Bacterial small subunit ribosomal RNA
Source: RNAcentral